RNAcentral lists this ribosomal RNA (486 nucleotides) under uncultured bacterium. RNAcentral describes it as "bacterial SSU rRNA". It matches the Rfam family "Bacterial small subunit ribosomal RNA", at positions 28 to 524 of the family's 1533-position model. The record is from RNAcentral.
AAUGAACGUUGGCGGCGUGGAUUAGGCAUGCAAGUCGGACGCCCCGCAAGGGGCGUGGCGCAAGGGUGAGUAGGGCGACGGCAACCAACCCCGAGGCCGGGCAUAGCCGCCCGAAAGGGCGGGUAAUUCCCGGCGGCCUCGCGUGGGGGCAUCCCCGUGCGAGUAAAGGUGCGAUUCCGCCUCGGGACGGGCCGUCGUGGUAUCAGGUAGUUGGCGGGGUAGUAGCCCACCAAGCCUUCGACGCCUACCGGGCGUGCGAGCGUGGCCCGGCACACUGGGACUGAGACACUGCCCAGACACCUACGGGUGGCUGCAGUCGAGAAUCUUCGGCAAUGGGCGCAAGCCUGACCGAGCGACGCCGCGUGGAGGACGAAGGCCUUCGGGUUGUAAACUCCUGUCGAGGGGGAGCAAGGCCGCGCGAAGAGCGCGGCUCGAGCGAUCCCUGGAGGAAGCACGGGCUAAGUUCGUGCCAGCCGCCGCAGUAAC